This is a ribosomal RNA of 435 nucleotides. It matches the Rfam family "Bacterial small subunit ribosomal RNA", at positions 341 to 792 of the family's 1533-position model.
ACGGGAGGCAGCAGUCGGGAAUAUUGCGCAAUGGAGGAAACUCUGACGCAGUGACGCCGCGUAUAGGGAGAAGGUUUUCGGAUUGUAAACUAUUUUAGACAGGGAAGAUACAAGACAGUACCUGUAGAAUAAGCUCCGGCUAACUACGUGCCAGCAGCCGCGGUAAUACGUAGGGAGCAAGCGUUAUCCGGAUUUAUUGGGUGUAAAGGGUGCGUAGACGGGAAUUUAAGUUAGUUGUGAAAUCCCUCGGCUCAACUGAGGAACUGCAACUAAAACUGGAUUUCUUGAGUGCGGGAGAGGAAAGCGGAAUUCCUAGUGUAGCGGUGAAAUGCGUAGAUAUUAGGAGGAACACCAGUGGCGAAGGCGGCUUUCUGGACCGUAACUGACGUUGAGGCUCGAAAGCGUGGGGAGCAAACAGGAUUAGAUACCCUGGUA